RNAcentral lists this ribosomal RNA (270 nucleotides) under uncultured bacterium. RNAcentral describes it as "partial 16S ribosomal RNA". It matches the Rfam family "Bacterial small subunit ribosomal RNA", at positions 524 to 785 of the family's 1533-position model. The record is from RNAcentral.
GACGUAGGGCGCGAGCGUUGUCCGGAUUUAUUGGGCGUAAAGAGCUCGUAGGCGGUUCGGUAAGUCAGGUGAUUGAAAUCUCCACGCUCAACGUGGAGGCGCCACCUGAAAACUGCCGUGACUCGAGUCCGGUAGGGGAGUGUGGAAUUCCUGGUGUAGCGGUGGAAAUGACGCAGAUAUCUGGAGGAACACCGGUGGCGAAGGCGGCAUCCUGGACCGACACUGACGCUGAGGCGCGAAAGCUAGGGGAGCAAACAGGGGAUUGAAGAA